This 236-nucleotide long non-coding RNA is filed under the name Mytilus galloprovincialis (Mediterranean mussel). The record is from RNAcentral. Lineage: Eukaryota; Metazoa; Mollusca; Bivalvia; Mytilida; Mytilidae.
UUUAUAGGUUGCACUUUAUAAAUACAGCUGUUUCUCAAAACACGCCUCUUUUGGGGAGAUCUUGAAUAUUCAUAGAAAAUUAAUUUUGUUUACAUACUGGUUCCCAGUUAUGCUCUCUGUGUUCAAUCUCACAGAGACAUAACUUGGGAAUGUUACCAGUAAAUAAACAUGUGCAUAUUGUUUACAUUGAAAUCUGUGGUAACCUUUCAUUCGAGGUAGGGGUAGUUAAGAGAAUU